GGGUGCGUAAAGGUUUCGACUACAUAAAGAAGAUUAUAUUAGCAAGUAGUGGUUAAUCGACCGGCCACUUUAAAAGUCGAUUAAAUGCUUUAACUGGCAAUACUCAGUUAGCCCUUGCUGCUUAAUUAAAUAACAGCAACAAUCUUAGAAAGCGAUGAAGGUAGCGUUCAAAAGAUUGAUGUAAAAUCCUUCGGCUGCUAGAAUAGCCAACGGGUUCUAGCAUGAGAUUAGUUGGUACGGAAAGAUGAAUGUUGUUUGUUCUUUAAUCUUUCAUAAAACUUAUGAACAUAAUAAACUUGUAGAAGAUAUAAUUUGAAGUAUGCUAGGACGCGGGUUCGAUUCCCGCCGCAUCCAUUA
This 357-nucleotide transfer-messenger RNA is filed under the name Caulobacteraceae bacterium. It matches the Rfam family "transfer-messenger RNA". Rfam says of the family: Bacterial tmRNA, also known as 10Sa RNA or SsrA, is named for its dual tRNA and mRNA-like properties. Its role is to liberate the mRNA from a stalled ribosome. To accomplish this part of the tmRNA is used as a reading frame that ends in a translation stop signal. The record is from RNAcentral. Lineage: Bacteria; Pseudomonadati; Pseudomonadota; Alphaproteobacteria; Caulobacterales; Caulobacteraceae.